GCAGAGACCUACCUGUGUUUGCUGUGGCGACUGUCCGGGCCAAAGCUCAGGCAGCUGGAAGUAUCAGUGAAGCCAGAAGAUUCUAGCUGUUCAGGGUCUGUGAGGAGGAGUCAAGGUCUGGGGUUUGUGUCCUCUGGCAUAGCAAUGGCACUGCAAUGGGGGAGCCUGUUGCUGGGCUGGGCCAUCUCGCCACUGUCACCUGCCUGUUGAGGGGUGACGGUGGUUGUUGAGAGGCUGGAUCAGACCCCAGAGGUGACAUGGAUGUGGCAUAUUUGUUGGACUUACACAGCCUUGCAUUUUAUUUUCAUCUCUGUUCCUUCCUCCCAUGAGAUCUUGGGUGGUGUUUAUCAACCCUGAGUAAUCGUUUCUUUGUCUGCAAGAUGGAAUAAAAAGGCCUACCUCAUUGGGCUCGUGUGGGUGAGGAGAACUGAAGAGUCUGAGAGCGCGGCACGAGCCAGAGGCUACGGAAAACACUGCCCUCCUACACUCCACCUUGGAGAGACCCAGAAAAGAACAAGCUUCAUUUGUAAAAAAGGAAAACAACUCAGGCAAUGGGGGUGGCUUAAAGAACUUGGAAUAACUUGCAGUGUCUUGCAGUAUUGUGAAACCAGCAACUUGUUCACAAUUCUUCUGAAUUUCUUGGGAAAUUUGAAGUGGAGUACCUGUACCAACAUGAAAUGACACGAAUUUAAGUGACGCUCAACAACGAAAAGCAAAAAGAACCAAAGAGGAAGCAACUGAAACAACAUCUGGAUGUAUUUAAAAAUAUACAAUGCCUCCAAAAUCAGGUGUCAUUAAUGAAAAUUCUGAAGAAAUGCCACCGGACAUAGCCAACGCACCUACGCUGUUGUUAUUCAUUUCCUGCUUUUCACAGAAAACAAUUUUGUUGCAUGGAAGAUCGUGAACUUCAAAGGGCAGAGGGGAAACUGUCCCUUGGCCUCUACCCCUCCAAGGCCCCACUUUUUUGUCAACACUCCUUGGACGCAGCAGAAGUAUGAACAUAAUAUGGUCCUGAAUGAGGCUGAGUCUUUGGGCGCAGAAGACCCGGGUUAAUAAAAAUAGGAAGGUAAGAAAAGAAAAGAAAAAUCAAGACACAUCAUAGGACUAAAUUCCUAUUAUUUAUCCACUCAGGAUUGACCACCCCUUUGGGCCAGAUAGUUGUACCCCCAUGUACCAGGUGGGCACAUGAAGACACAAGAAGUGCUGUGAUGGUUCAUUUUGCACGUCACCUUGCGUGGAGUAUGCCAACUCAUUGUUUGGUCAAACACUAGUCUGGACAUGGUGGUAAAGGUAUUUUUUAGAUGAGAUUAACACUUAAAUCAGUAAAGCAGGUUACCCACCAUACUACGGGUGGGCCCUGUCCAAUCAGUUGAAGGCAUUAAGAACAAAGAUUGAGGUUUCCUAAAGAAGAUGGAAUUCUCCUUGAGACUACAACAUAGAAACCCUAUCUGAGUUUCCAGCCUGUUGCCCUGUGGAAUUCAAACUCAGGACUCCGGUCUAUGACAUUAACCCUCACUUAACUUUUCAGCCUGCCAGCCUGCCCUAUGGAUUUCGGACUUGCCAGCCACACAAUUCCUUAAAAUAAAUCUCUCCGUCUCUGUC
This 1602-nucleotide long non-coding RNA is filed under the name Homo sapiens (human). RNAcentral's name for it is "downregulated RNA in cancer, inhibitor of cell invasion and migration". Lineage: Eukaryota; Metazoa; Chordata; Mammalia; Primates; Hominidae. The record is from RNAcentral.